This is a long non-coding RNA of Schistocerca cancellata (South American locust), 2612 nucleotides long. RefSeq lists it as uncharacterized. The record is from RefSeq and is a predicted model, not a curated record. The transcript has 2 exons. Lineage: Eukaryota; Metazoa; Arthropoda; Insecta; Orthoptera; Acrididae.
AAGUUUAUUAUUCUUUUCCCACAUCACUAACACAUUCUGUAUACCACAGUUGUCACUAUAAUACUGCUGAAUGCUCUCACUUAUACACUAAUAUACAUUUUUUUCACUGAACACACAUUCUCUUCAUCACUUCUUGUUGCUGGAAGACAUUUGGAAAGAGUACAAGCUUUUUGUGCAAAUUAGACAUUUAACAAGUAAUCUACUGCAAUGAACUGCAAAAUUAACAAUGACAGACAAAAGGCACUUACCAACAGCUCAAUGGAGAUGUGCAUUUUCUACAUAUGAUAUUGUCUGUCUGUGUGUGUUGGCAAUUGCCAAACACGCAUUGCAAUAACAAUAAUGGAAACCCAUGUGCAGAAGAAUUCAUCCACACACACUCCAAUACAAACUGAUCACAAAAUUCUGACCAGGAAACUUAGCUUCUCAAUUAUUUCGGAAGUGGAAACACUUUUAUCUUCCUCAAACAACAAUAUUGCUAGCACAUUUCUUUUAAUUAUAAGUACAACAAACACUGCAAAUACACUCCUGCAGAACCACAAAAACACACACACACACACACACACACACACACACACACACACACACACACACAGGGUAUUAGGAACCUAAGGAUGCACCAGCAUGUGAAAGUAUUUUCCAUUACCAGUUGCCAUGUGCCACUACAAUAAGGCAGUCAUACACUAUCACAUUACAUUUUUAUGUGCGGAUAACUUAACAACAAGACAUAGCCAAUAAUCACCAAACUACAUCAGGAAUGAUUUAAAUCAAGUUUUUCCUAAAGUGGCUCUUACUCCUUUCUGUUUGAUACAUCCCUAUACAGCUCAUCAGUGUUCUUUCCCCAACCAAUGGGUAUUUAAAAACCUCAAUGGAAAACUCGAUGAUUUUUUUUAUUAUUUAUUUUUCAUUUUUUAUUUAUCUGUGAUUUUGGUUGCCACACUAUCACAAUAAGUAGCAGCCUGCUAGAAAUAUCAUGUGGAAUAAUCUGAUAAAGGAAAUCUUUCAAAAAAAAGAAGGGGCUUCACCACAAGUAUUUACCUUUGGGAAUGAUUUACUAUGAGUUUUGAGUGUGAUGUGUCUUUUUACAGAUAUGAAAAAUGAACAGCUAGUGGAGAAGUAGGAGAGCAAAGGACAGACAUGUUAGAUAUAUGGAGCCGUCUUUAGAUGGCAAAGGUACCACUGCCUGUCAAGAGCAGCCAGGGUAUUCCACCAACAGGAUACACCCUUCAAACGCCAUUACGACAUGCCACUACUACUGCAUUGGUCCUAUAAUUGAUGGAGGUAUGUUAUGAACCAUAUUACAAUGUCGUGAAGCCUGUUAGGAUGUAAGAUCAGUACACUGAUCAAGGAACGUCUACACUAUCAACCCAAUACAGAAAUGAAACACAUGGCACAGGACAUGAGAUAAUCCAAGAGAACCAACAUUUGGUUCAAAGGUUACAGAAGAAGGCUGCCCUCAGUUCUUAUGACGUGGAUCACCCAGCGUCAGAGUAAUACGAGAAGAUUAAUUGGAUACAAUAGAAAAUUUUCCCCAAAUAUGCCAAUGGAGCAAAGUACAGCUUUCAUAUAUUAAUUCCCCACAAUUUAUGUUACCCAAUUUAUUUUUUCUUAUUUUGACACUUAUCCAAAAGAUUCCACUUGUAUUGGCAAGUUCUUGGCCUCAUACAACUUACCUUAAUCUGCACAAGUCCUCUUUAUGAAAUGAUAUGCUUGUGAUUGUUUUACUAUUGCAACAAACAUUUUCAACAAAGAGUUCAGCAUUACACAAUACCUCACAACUCCUGGCCACAUAAGUGUAAUCAGUGAGCUUCCAACAAAUUGGCCUACAGUAAUAAUUAGGACUUUGAGUACAAAAUAGUGGAUCUUUCUCGUGAGUUGUAGCCACUUGUGUCCUCACCUUUCAAUGGAACUCACAUUAACACAAGUAUGACAACACAAGACCGCCCGGUUUGGUAACAGCACUACAUAACAGCUAACAGUUCCAGGCAAAGAUCCAGCUGAGGUAACUGCAUUUCUGUUGAGCCAAUGCUCUGUUUUAGACUGAGUGUAGUAUAAUAGGUUGGUAGAUGGAGUUGGAGUGAAACCUGCAGUUUUAAAGAGAAUUCUGUUCAAAUGUUGGGAGGAUCCUCAGCAAGCAAACUGGAAAUUAGUGGGAGACACAUGGAAGCCAAUAGCUACACAAAUAAGUAGAUGACAUUAGAAAAUGACAAGCAGCAGCAGUAGGAAUGGAUGUGGGUGAAAAUUUGUACGGUGUGGCAAAGUGAAGAGGCAGCUUUUAUUUAGUAGUGGGUGUCAAAUGGAUGGUGAUGAAGAAUGAAAGUGAGGACUGACGGUCAGGGGCAAUAGCGGAGAGUAAUGACAGUCUUAAAUAACUGCUAAAAGCGGGUAAACUGCCAGUAUUUGUGACAGUAUUUAUGAAACUUAAUAUUCCAUUUUUUAAUUUUUUCCUUGAGAAUUAAUUAAUUCAAAACAGACUCAUGCACAGUACACUCAAGUAGGGACUCAUCUCAUUUUCUGCCAUUAAAAGAAGGGUUUUCAUGUUUAAAUGUGUCCCUAAGAUCCUUGAAGAUGACCCACAUUAAGUACAUCUGAGAAAACAUGUAUGACAGUAGCCA